Molecule: transfer RNA, 88 nt
Filed under: Methyloprofundus sp.
Lineage: Bacteria; Pseudomonadati; Pseudomonadota; Gammaproteobacteria; Methylococcales; Methylococcaceae
Description: tRNA-Ser
Rfam family: tRNA
About the family: Transfer RNA (tRNA) molecules are approximately 80 nucleotides in length.
Source: RNAcentral
GGAGAGCUGGCCGAGCGGUCGAAGGCGCACGCCUGGAAAGCGUGUAUACGGCAACGUAUCAAGGGUUCGAAUCCCUUGCUCUCCGCCA